RNAcentral lists this ribosomal RNA (694 nucleotides) under Salmonella enterica subsp. enterica serovar Muenchen. Its description in RNAcentral is "partial 23S ribosomal RNA". It matches the Rfam family "Bacterial large subunit ribosomal RNA", at positions 1084 to 1693 of the family's 2925-position model. The record is from RNAcentral. Lineage: Bacteria; Pseudomonadati; Pseudomonadota; Gammaproteobacteria; Enterobacterales; Enterobacteriaceae.
CCCAGACAGCCAGGAUGUUGGCUUAGAAGCAGCCAUCAUUUAAAGAAAGCGUAAUAGCUCACUGGUCGAGUCGGCCUGCGCGGAAGAUGUAACGGGGCUAAACCAUGCACCGAAGCUGCGGCAGCGAACGUAUCACCCAAGACAACUUUGCGGAGUUGACGAUUGACGGAGCGAAGCGACGUCAAAGCGUUCAUUAAAGUCGAGUUGGCUUAGGGAUACGUUCGUUGGGUAGGGGAGCGUUCUGUAAGCCUGUGAAGGUGGCCUGUGAGGGUUGCUGGAGGUAUCAGAAGUGCGAAUGCUGACAUAAGUAACGAUAAAGCGGGUGAAAAGCCCGCUCGCCGGAAGACCAAGGGUUCCUGUCCAACGUUAAUCGGGGCAGGGUGAGUCGACCCCUAAGGCGAGGCCGAAAGGCGUAGUCGAUGGGAAACGGGUUAAUAUUCCCGUACUUGGUGUUACUGCGAAGGGGGGACGGAGAAGGCUAUGUUGGCCGGGCGACGGUUGUCCCGGUUUAAGCGUGUAGGUGUGUGUUCCAGGUAAAUCCGGUUCACUUUAACACUGAGGCGUGACGACGAGGCACUACGGUGCUGAAGCAACAAAUGCCCUGCUUCCAGGAAAAGCCUCUAAGCAUCAGGUAACAUCAAAUCGUACCCCAAACCGACACAGGUGGUCAGGUAGAGAAUACCAAGGCGCUUGA